This 523-nucleotide ribosomal RNA is filed under the name uncultured bacterium. RNAcentral's name for it is "partial 16S ribosomal RNA". It matches the Rfam family "Bacterial small subunit ribosomal RNA", at positions 355 to 894 of the family's 1533-position model. The record is from RNAcentral.
UGGGGAAUAUUGGAUAAUGGGGGCAACCCUGAUCCAGCAAUGCCGCGUGUGUGAAGAAGGUCUUCGGAUUGUAAAGCACUUUCGACGGGGACGAUGAUGACGGUACCCGUAGAAGAAGCCCCGGCUAACUUCGUGCCAGCAGCCGCGGUAAUACGAAGGGGGCUAGCGUUGCUCGGAAUGACUGGGCGUAAAGGGCGUGUAGGCGGUUUACACAGUCAGAUGUGAAAUCCCCGGGCUUAACCUGGGAGCUGCAUUUGAUACGUGUAGACUAGAGUGUGAGAGAGGGUUGUGGAAUUCCCAGUGUAGAGGUGAAACUCGUAGAUAUUGGGAAGAACACCGGUGGCGAAGGCGGCAACCUGGCUCAUGACUGACGCUGAGGCGCGAAAGCGUGGGGAGCAAACAGGAUUAGAUACCCUGGUAGUCCACGCUGUAAACGAUGUGUGCUAGAUGUUGGGUAACUUUGUUAUUCAGUGUCGCAGUUAACGCGUUAAAGCACACCGCCUGGGGAGUACGGCCGCAAGGU